GAGUUGAUCUUGGCUCAGAUUGAACGCUGGCGGCAUGCCUUACACAUGCAAGUCGAACGGCAGCAUGAUCUAGCUUGCUAGAUUGAUGGCGAGUGGCGAACGGGUGAGUAAUACAUCGGAACGUGCCCUGUAGUGGGGAUAACUAGUCGAAAGAUUAGCUAAUACCGCAUACGACCUGAGGGUGAAAGUGGGGGACCGCAAGGCCUCAUGCUAUAGGAGCGGCCGAUGUCUGAUUAGCUAGUUGGUGGGGUAAAGGCCCACCAAGGCGACGAUCAGUAGCUGGUCUGAGAGGACGAUCAGCCACACUGGGACUGAGACACGGCCCAGACUCCUACGGGAGGCAGCAGUGGGGAAUUUUGGACAAUGGGGGCAACCCUGAUCCAGCAAUGCCGCGUGUGUGAAGAAGG
Molecule: ribosomal RNA, 407 nt
Filed under: uncultured microorganism
Description: bacterial SSU rRNA
Rfam family: Bacterial small subunit ribosomal RNA
Source: RNAcentral